RNAcentral lists this ribosomal RNA (651 nucleotides) under uncultured bacterium. RNAcentral describes it as "bacterial SSU rRNA". It matches the Rfam family "Bacterial small subunit ribosomal RNA", at positions 74 to 705 of the family's 1533-position model. The record is from RNAcentral.
CGGAGCUUGCUCCACCGAAAGAAAAAGAGUGGCGAACGGGUGAGUAACACGUGGGUAACCUGCCCAUCAGAAGGGGAUAACACUUGGAAACAGGUGCUAAUACCGUAUAACACUAUUUUCCGCAUGGAAGAAAGUUGAAAGGCGCUUUUGCGUCACUGAUGGAUGGACCCGCGGUGCAUUAGCUAGUUGGUGAGGUAACGGCUCACCAAGGCAACGAUGCAUAGCCGACCUGAGAGGGUGAUCGGCCACACUGGGACUGAGACACGGCCCAGACUCCUACGGGAGGCAGCAGUAGGGAAUCUUCGGCAAUGGACGAAAGUCUGACCGAGCAACGCCGCGUGAGUGAAGAAGGUUUUCGGAUCGUAAAACUCUGUUGUUAGAGAAGAACAAGGAUGAGAGUAAAAUGUUCAUCCCUUGACGGUAUCUAACCAGAAAGCCACGGCUAACUACGUGCCAGCAGCCGCGGUAAUACGUAGGUGGCAAGCGUUGUCCGGAUUUAUUGGGCGUAAAGCGAGCGCAGGCGGUUUCUUAAGUCUGAUGUGAAAGCCCCCGGCUCAACCGGGGAGGGUCAUUGGAAACUGGGAGACUUGAGUGCAGAAGAGGAGAGUGGAAUUCCAUGUGUAGCGGUGAAAUGCGUAGAUAUAUGGAGGA